RNAcentral lists this ribosomal RNA (253 nucleotides) under uncultured bacterium. Its description in RNAcentral is "partial 16S ribosomal RNA". It matches the Rfam family "Bacterial small subunit ribosomal RNA", at positions 524 to 776 of the family's 1533-position model. The record is from RNAcentral.
UACGGGGGGGGCAAGCGUUGUUCGGAAUUACUGGGCGUAAAGGGCUCGUAGGUGGCCAACUAAGUCAGACGUGAAAUCCCUCGGCUUAACCGGGGAACUGCGUCUGAUACUGAUUGGCUUGAGUGUGGGAGAGGGAUGCGGAAUUCCAGGUGUAGCGGUGAAAUGCGUAGAUAUCUGGAGGAACACCGGUGGCGAAGGCGGCAUCCUGGACCGCGACUGACGCUGAGGAGCGAAAGCCAGGGGAGCAAACGGG